Molecule: ribosomal RNA, 247 nt
Filed under: uncultured bacterium
Lineage: Bacteria
Description: partial 16S ribosomal RNA
Rfam family: Bacterial small subunit ribosomal RNA
Source: RNAcentral
AUACGUAGGUGGCGAGCGUUGUCCGGAAUUACUGGGUGUAAAGGGCGCGUAGACGGGUAUGUAAGUCAGAUGUGAAAUACCGGGGCUCAACUCCGGGGCUGCAUUUGAAACUAUGUAUCUUGAGUGCAGGAGAGGUAAGUGGAAUUCCUAGUGUAGCGGUGAAAUGCGUAGAUAUUAGGAGGAACACCAGUGGCGAAGGCGACUUACUGGACUGUAACUGACGUUGAGGCGCGAAAGCGUGGGUAGC